GUCUUUUUGAGUAUAAUUUAAAGUCUAACCUGCCCACUGAAAAUUUAAAUGGCCGCAGUAUUUUGACUGUGCAAAGGUAGCAUAAUCAUUAGUUUCUUAAUUAGAAGCUUGUAUGAAUGGUUGAACGAGAAACUUUCUGUCUCAAUUUAUAAAUUAAAAUUUUAUUUUUAAGUCAAAAAGCUUAAAUAAAUUUAAAAGACGAGAAGACCCUAUAGAGUUUUAUAAAUUAAAUAAUUUUUAUUUUUAGAAUUUAUUUUAUUAUUUAAUUUAUUUUAUUGGGGUGAUAUAUAAAUUUAAUAAACUUUAUAUUAUUUUAAACAUUAAUAUAUGAAUUUUUGAUCCAUUAAUUAUGAUUAAAAGAAAAAAUUACCUUAGGGAUAACAGCGUAAUUUUUUUUUAGAGUUCAAAUCGAAAAAAAAGUUUGCGACCUCGAUGUUGGAUUAAAAUUAAUUUAUGGUGUAGAAGCUAUAAUAUUGGGUCUGUUCGACCUUUGAAAUUUUACAUGAUCUGAGUUCAGACCGGCGUGAGCCAGGUUGGUUUCUAUCUUUAAAAAUUUUAAAUAUUUUAGUACGAAAGGACCAAAUAUUUUUAAUAGUUAAUUUUUAUUGAAUA
Molecule: ribosomal RNA, 612 nt
Filed under: Hydraena sp. MNCN AI429
Lineage: Eukaryota; Metazoa; Arthropoda; Insecta; Coleoptera; Hydraenidae
Description: partial 16S ribosomal RNA
Rfam family: Bacterial large subunit ribosomal RNA
Source: RNAcentral